Molecule: ribosomal RNA, 305 nt
Filed under: uncultured bacterium
Lineage: Bacteria
Description: bacterial SSU rRNA
Rfam family: Bacterial small subunit ribosomal RNA
Source: RNAcentral
CCUACGGGACGCAGCAGUGGGGAAUAUUGGGCAAUGGGCGCAAGCCUGACCCAGCAACGCCGCGUGAAGGAAGAAGGCUUUCGGGUUGUAAACUUCUUUUCUCAGGGACGAAGAAAGUGACGGUACCUGAGGAAUAAGCCACGGCUAACUACGUGCCAGCAGCCGCGGUAAUACGUAGGUGGCAAGCGUUAUCCGGAUUUACUGGGUGUAAAGGGCGUGUAGGCGGGACUGCAAGUCAGAUGUGAAAACCACGGGCCCAACCUGUGGCCUGCAUUUGAAACUGUAGCUCUUUAGUACUGGAGAGG